GCCAGGCAUGAUGGCUCAUGCCUGUAAUCCCAGCACUUUGGGAGGCCGAGGCAGGUGGAUCACCUGAGGUCAGGAGUUCAAGACCAGCCUGACCAACAUGGUGAAACCCUGUCUCUA
Molecule: small RNA, 117 nt
Filed under: Pongo abelii (Sumatran orangutan)
Lineage: Eukaryota; Metazoa; Chordata; Mammalia; Primates; Hominidae
Description: Metazoan signal recognition particle RNA (ENSPPYG00000030016.1)
Rfam family: Metazoan signal recognition particle RNA
About the family: The signal recognition particle (SRP) is a universally conserved ribonucleoprotein. It is involved in the co-translational targeting of proteins to membranes.
Source: Rfam by way of RNAcentral